GAGAACUCUGACCAUUGACGCCGCGUGAGGGAUGAAGGCCUUCGGGUUGUAAACCUCUUUCAGCAGGGAAUAAGCGAAGUGAAGGUACCUGCAGAAGAAGCACCGGCUAACUAUGUGCCAGCAGCCGCGGUAAUACAUAGGGUGCAAGCGUUGUCCGGAAUUAUUGGGCGUAAAGAGCUCGUAGGUGGUCGAUCACGUCGGAUGUGAAAAUCUGAGGCUUAACCUCAGACCUGCAUUCGAUACGGGUUGACUAGAGUGUGGUAGGGGAGACUGGAAUUCCUGGUGUAGCGGUGGAAUGCGCAGAUAUCAGGAGGAACACCGAUGGCGAAGGCAGGUCUCUGGGCCAUUACUGACACUGAGGAGCGAAGGUGUGGGGAGCGAACAGGAUUAGAUACCCUGGUAGUCCACACCGUAAACGGUGGGCGCUAGUUGUGGGAACCUUCCACGGUUUCUGCGACGCAGCUAACGCAUUAAGCGCCCCGCCUGGGGAGUACGGUCGCAAGACUAAAACUCAAAAGAAAUUGACGGGGCCCCGCACAAGCAGCGGAGCAUGCGGCUUAAUUCGACCGCAACGCGAAGAAGCU
This 584-nucleotide ribosomal RNA is filed under the name uncultured bacterium. Its description in RNAcentral is "bacterial SSU rRNA". It matches the Rfam family "Bacterial small subunit ribosomal RNA", at positions 376 to 971 of the family's 1533-position model. The record is from RNAcentral.